RNAcentral lists this ribosomal RNA (387 nucleotides) under uncultured bacterium. RNAcentral describes it as "bacterial SSU rRNA". It matches the Rfam family "Bacterial small subunit ribosomal RNA", at positions 335 to 739 of the family's 1533-position model. The record is from RNAcentral.
ACUCCUACGGGAGGCAGCAGUGGGGAAUAUUGCACAAUGGGGGAAACCCUGAUGCAGCGACGCCGCGUGAGCGAAGAAGUAUUUCGGUAUGUAAAGCUCUAUCAGCAGGGAAGAAAAUGACGGUACCUGACUAAGAAGCACCGGCUAAAUACGUGCCAGCAGCCGCGGUAAUACGUAUGGUGCAAGCGUUAUCCGGAUUUACUGGGUGUAAAGGGAGCGUAGACGGAUGGGCAAGUCUGAUGUGAAAACCCGGGGCUCAACCCCGGGACUGCAUUGGAAACUGUUCAUCUAGAGUGCUGGAGAGGUAAGUGGAAUUCCUAGUGUAGCGGUGAAAUGCGUAGAUAUUAGGAGGAACACCAGUGGCGAAGGCGGCUUACUGGACAGUAA